GCCACAUGAUGUUCUCUAGAUAACAUUAGCAUUCUGUGCAAAGAUGACCUCUCAUCUAUCACCCGGGACUGAUGGUU
This is a small nucleolar RNA of Neoarius graeffei (lesser salmon catfish), 77 nucleotides long. RefSeq annotates it as small nucleolar RNA SNORD83. The transcript has a single exon. NCBI's taxonomy places the organism in Eukaryota, Metazoa, Chordata, Actinopteri, Siluriformes, Ariidae. The record is from RefSeq and is a predicted model, not a curated record.